CCUACGGGAGGCAGCAGUGAGGAAUAUUGGUCAAUGGACGAGAGUCUGAACCAGCCAAGUAGCGUGAAGGAUGACUGCCCUAUGGGUUGUAAACUUCUUUUAUAUGGGAAUAAAAUGUUCCACGUGUGGGAUUUUGUAUGUACCAUAUGAAUAAGGAUCGGCUAACUCCGUGCCAGCAGCCGCGGUAAUACGGAGGAUCCGAGCGUUAUCCGGCUUUAUUGGGUUUAAAGGGAGCGUAGGUGGAUUGUUAAGUCAGUUGUGAAAGUUUGCGGCUCAACCGUAAAAUUGCAGUUGAAAAGGGCAGUCUUGAGUACAGUAGAGGUGGGCGGAAUUCGUGGUGUAGCGGUGAAAUGCUUAGAUAUCACGAAGAACUCCGAUUGCGAAGGCAGUUCACUGGACUGCAACUGACACUGAGGCUCGAAAGUGUGGGUAUCAAACAGGAUUAGAUACCCGAGUAGUC
This 460-nucleotide ribosomal RNA is filed under the name uncultured bacterium. Its description in RNAcentral is "partial 16S ribosomal RNA". It matches the Rfam family "Bacterial small subunit ribosomal RNA", at positions 338 to 795 of the family's 1533-position model. The record is from RNAcentral.